This 497-nucleotide ribosomal RNA is filed under the name uncultured bacterium. Its description in RNAcentral is "partial 16S ribosomal RNA". It matches the Rfam family "Bacterial small subunit ribosomal RNA", at positions 28 to 507 of the family's 1533-position model. The record is from RNAcentral.
GAUGAACGCUGGCGGCGUGCCUAAUACAUGCGAGUCGAGCGAACGGACGAGAAGCUUGCUUUUCUGAUGUUAGCGGCGGACGGGUGAGUAACACGUGGAUAACCUGCCUAUAAGACUGGGAUAACUUCGGGAAACCGGAGCUAAUAUCGGAUAAUAUUUUGAACCGCAUGGUUCAAAAGUGAAAGACGGUCUUGCUGUCACUUAUAGAUGGAUCCGCGCUGCAUUAGCUAGUUGGUAAGGUAACGGCUUACCAAGGCAACGAUGCAUAGCCGACCUGAGAGGGUGAUCGGCCACACUGGAACUGAGACACGGUCCAGACUCCUACGGGAGGCAGCAGUAGGGAAUCUUCCGCAAUGGGCGAAAGCCUGACGGAGCAACGCCGCGUGAGUGAUGAAGGUCUUCGGAUCGUAAAACUCUGUUAUUAGGGAAGAACAUAUGUGUAAGUAACUGUGCACAUCUUGACGGUACCUAAUCAGAAAGCCACGGCUAACUACGUG